RNAcentral lists this ribosomal RNA (246 nucleotides) under uncultured bacterium. RNAcentral's name for it is "partial 16S ribosomal RNA". It matches the Rfam family "Bacterial small subunit ribosomal RNA", at positions 791 to 1035 of the family's 1533-position model. The record is from RNAcentral.
UAGUCCACGCCCUAAACGAUGUCAACUAGUUGUCGGGUCUUAAUUGACUUGGUAACGCAGCUAACGCGUGAAGUUGACCGCCUGGGGAGUACGGUCGCAAGAUUAAAACUCAAAGGAAUUGACGGGGACCCGCACAAGCGGUGGAUGAUGUGGAUUAAUUCGAUGCAACGCGAAAAACCUUACCUACCCUUGACAUGGCAGGAAUCCCGGAGAGAUCCGGGAGUGCUCGAAAGAGAACCUGCACAC